Molecule: long non-coding RNA, 444 nt
Organism: Bradysia coprophila
Lineage: Eukaryota; Metazoa; Arthropoda; Insecta; Diptera; Sciaridae
Source: RefSeq, a predicted model, not a curated record
CGGACGAAAUAGGAUUACGGGUCGUACGGGGCUAAUAUCGAUUUCAAUAAGAAAAUAAUUGUCUUAAAGCAUCUAAUGUGUAAAUAAUGUGAGAUUCUACAUGUUUUGUGCCCAGUGUAGAGCUGUUUUAAAACGUACGUUAUUAUGAUUCGUUUCAUAAAUUAUGUUAAACAUUUUUUUCUGCAAUUUGGUGAUGAAAGGUUUAAACUUUAAUAUUUUGCAGUCUCGAUGUGAAUUCCGUUCAAAAUUGAUGUAAUAAUUUAUACAAAAGACGCUGCUUACAUGAAGUUUCCAACAGAUGGCCGGUGUAAAUAACAUAUUCAACUAUAAUAAUGGUGCUGUGUGACGUAUCAAGCGAAUUAUUUUAAAUUUUAGUUCUUACGUUUAGUUGUUAUUAAAAUUAAAUUAAUUUAUUGAAAAUUUUGUAAUUAUUGAAUUAAAUUU